RNAcentral lists this long non-coding RNA (592 nucleotides) under Gossypium barbadense (sea-island cotton). Its description in RNAcentral is "long non-coding RNA (GBAR_LNC016738)". Lineage: Eukaryota; Viridiplantae; Streptophyta; Magnoliopsida; Malvales; Malvaceae. The record is from RNAcentral.
UCUGCCAUUUGAAGUUGCGCCGUGGCCUUUCCUCUCUGCCAUUUCAGACCCCUCUCGCUCCGAUGACGACGAAACGAAGAGGUCCUCCAGCCACACUCACAAUGGUAAGUUCUCUUUUCCCUUUCCUUUCCGUUUUAUGCACAAAGCAAUAAAUCAAAAAAGAAAAAAUGAAACAAAACUAAAUUAAAGAUCACCUUCUGCCAAAACUUUUCCUUUUUCUUCUAUUUCUUUUCAAAAAAUGUUUUUUUUCCUUCAAUCGUUGUAAACCUUUUACAAAAACCGAUUGGCCCUUUUUUAGCCGAAUCCUUACAACUCAAAUAAUAAUAAUUUUUUAAAUAUUUUCUCCCUCUUUCGUUUUGCUUGCUGUUCGUGGUUUACUUGUUGCAGGUACGUGCGCGUGUGGGGGUUGCUGCUACGUGGGGCGUGCACGGCGCUGGAGGUUGCUGCGACGUGGGGUGGCUGCUGCUAACUGCUGCUUAGGGUUAGGCUAGGGUUAGAUUUGGGUUUGGGGUAGUGACUUGGGCCUUAUUGGGCCAAACGUAAUUUGGUCAGAUUAGUUAAUUUGGGCCCCGGGCAACAAUUGGGUAUUACA